CAGCCGCCGCGGUAAUACGGAGGGUGCAAGCGUUAAUCGGAAUUACUGGGCGUAAAGCGCACGCAGGCGGUCUGACAAGUCAGAUGUGAAAUCCCCGGGCUUAACCUGGGAACUGCAUUUGAAACUGUCAGGCUGGAGUCUUGUAGAGGGGGGUGGAAUUCCAGGUGUAGCGGUGAAAUGCGUAGAGAUCUGGAGGAAUACCGGUGGCGAAGGCGGCCCCCUGGACAAAGACUGACGCUCAGGUGCGAAAGCGUGGGGAGCAAACAGGAUUAGAUACCCCGGUAGUCCCGUCUCUUAUACA
This 301-nucleotide ribosomal RNA is filed under the name uncultured bacterium. RNAcentral describes it as "partial 16S ribosomal RNA". It matches the Rfam family "Bacterial small subunit ribosomal RNA", at positions 509 to 808 of the family's 1533-position model. The record is from RNAcentral.